GGUCUGGUGUGUGGCGGCAGAGCGGGGCUUAAUUACAAAACUUCAUCAUAAUGAGGUGUUAGAGGCUCUUUUGGGGGGGUGUUUUUUUUUGUGGGGGGGAAGGGGUUGAGGUUUUUUUCUUUUUUUUAUUUUUUUGUGCCUGUGGUGGAUGCUGCGGGGCC
This 161-nucleotide ribosomal RNA is filed under the name uncultured bacterium. Its description in RNAcentral is "partial 16S ribosomal RNA". The record is from RNAcentral.